GAUGAACGCUGGCGGCGUGCCUAAUACAUGCAAGUCGAGCGAACAGAUGAGGAGCUUGCUCCUCUGACGUUAGCGGCGGACGGGUGAGUAACACGUGGAUAACCUACCUAUAAGACUGGGAUAACUUCGGGAAACCGGAGCUAAUACCGGAUAAUAUAUUGAACCGCAUGGUUCAAUAGUGAAAGACGGUUUUGCUGUCACUUAUAGAUGGAUCCGCGCCGCAUUAGCUAGUUGGUAAGGUAACGGCUUACCAAGGCAACGAUGCGUAGCCGACCUGAGAGGGUGAUCGGCGACACUGGAACUGAGCCACGGUCCAGAGUCCUACGGGAGGCAGCAGUAGGGAAUCUUCCGCAAUGGGCGAAAGCCUGACGGAGCAACGCCGAGUGAGUGAUGAAGGUCUUCGGAUCGUAAAACUCUGUUAUUAGGGAAGAACAACUGUGUAAGUAACUAUGCACGUCUUGACGGUACCUAAUCAGAAAGCCACGGCUAACUACGUG
Molecule: ribosomal RNA, 497 nt
Filed under: uncultured bacterium
Lineage: Bacteria
Description: partial 16S ribosomal RNA
Rfam family: Bacterial small subunit ribosomal RNA
Source: RNAcentral